UACGAAGGGGGCUAGCGUUGCUCGGAAUCACUGGGCGUAAAGGGCGCGUAGGCGGACUUUUAAGUCGGAGGUGAAAGCCCAGGGCUCAACCCUGGAAUUGCCUUCGAUACUGGGAGUCUUGAGUUCGGAAGAGGUUGGUGGAACUGCGAGUGUAGAGGUGAAAUUCGUAGAUAUUCGACGAAGACACCAGUGGCGAAGGCGGCAUCUGGACGUGU
This 215-nucleotide ribosomal RNA is filed under the name uncultured bacterium. RNAcentral describes it as "partial 16S ribosomal RNA". It matches the Rfam family "Bacterial small subunit ribosomal RNA", at positions 524 to 738 of the family's 1533-position model. The record is from RNAcentral.